AUGGACGCGGGGAGCGCCGGCGACGGCGAGGCGGGGCGGCAGGAGGGGACGCCUCCCUCCGGCGCGCCGACGGGCCCCGCGGCGCCGUUCGGCAGGUCGUCGUCGUCGUCGGGUCUCGGCGCGAAGGGCGGCGCAGCACCCCAGAGCUUCGACGGCGCGCUCAGAGAGCUCAAGGAUCUGCAGUCGCAGUUGCACCAGGCGGCGGACUGCUGCGAGAAGGCGUUCCUCGCCACCGAGGAGAAGAGGCUAAUCCUGGACAGUACAAAGAGCUACAUCUGCAACGCGGUAGUGGCAGUGAUUGAUCAUCUGGGGACCGUUUCAUCCAAGCUUGAGCACCAGCUGGAGGACAAGACUGAGAUCAUGCAAACAGAGCAGAAGAUCAGCUUCCUGAAGCAGAGGCUCUUGACAUGCGAACAGUAUGCAAUUUCUCUCCAACUAUUGGCCGUUCGUGCGGACGCUGGCGCCGUUCAAUAUCAUCGCCGUUACCUUUCCCAAUCUACUGAAAGAAACAACCAGGAAAAUGUUGCCAAGUCAAGCAGAGAUGACCCAGAAGAACCCCUCAAGCUCAAUAGCACAGUGGCGCCAGGAGCUACUCGCACUCUGAAGCCAUAUGAUGCUGAAUCAACCAUCGGGAGGGAGCAUGCCGUGGCGGGUGCAGACGGUGGAAACCCAGCAUCCACAGCGAGGUCAUUUUCCUUCAGAGCAGAGGAUGUUCACGUUGCUGCAGGGGGUCAUCACAAGAAGAAGAAAGGCAGCCAUGGCAGCAACAUCAUGUCAUUUCUCAAAAGAAGCAAGCGACAUGCGUAA
This 807-nucleotide ribosomal RNA is filed under the name Triticum aestivum (bread wheat). Its description in RNAcentral is "partial small subunit ribosomal RNA". Lineage: Eukaryota; Viridiplantae; Streptophyta; Magnoliopsida; Poales; Poaceae. The record is from RNAcentral.